Molecule: ribosomal RNA, 585 nt
Filed under: uncultured bacterium
Lineage: Bacteria
Description: bacterial SSU rRNA
Rfam family: Bacterial small subunit ribosomal RNA
Source: RNAcentral
GGCGAACGGGUGAGUAACACGUGAGCAACCUGCCUUUCAGUGGGGGACAACAUUUGGAAACGAAUGCUAAUACCGCAUAAGACCACAGUGUCGCAUGGCACAGGGGUCAAAGGAUUUAUCCGCUGAAAGAUGGGCUCGCGUCCGAUUAGCUAGAUGGUGAGGUAACGGCCCACCAUGGCGACGAUCGGUAGCCGGACUGAGAGGUUGAACGGCCACAUUGGGACUGAGACACGGCCCAGACUCCUACGGGAGGCAGCAGUGGGGAAUAUUGCACAAUGGGGGAAACCCUGAUGCAGCGACGCCGCGUGGAGGAAGAAGGUCUUCGGAUUGUAAACUCCUGUCCCAGGGGACGAUAAUGACGGUACCCUGGGAGGAAGCACCGGCUAACUACGUGCCAGCAGCCGCGGUAAAACGUAGGGUGCAAGCGUUGUCCGGAAUUACUGGGUGUAAAGGGAGCGCAGGCGGAUUGGCAAGUUGGGAGUGAAAUCUAUGGGCUCAACCCAUAAAUUGCUUUCAAAACUGUCAGUCUUGAGUGGUGUAGAGGUAGGCGGAAUUCCCGGUGUAGCGGUGGAAUGCGUAGAUAUC